Molecule: ribosomal RNA, 735 nt
Filed under: uncultured bacterium
Lineage: Bacteria
Description: bacterial SSU rRNA
Rfam family: Bacterial small subunit ribosomal RNA
Source: RNAcentral
CUUAUAAGUCAGUGGUGAAAUCCUGCAGCUUAACUGCAGAACUGCCAUUGAUACUGUAAGUCUUGAGUGUGUUUGAAGUGGGCGGAAUGUGUCAUGUAGCGGUGAAAUGCUUAGAUAUGACACAGAACACCGAUUGCGUAGGCAGCUCACUAAACCACAACUGACGCUGAGGCACGACAGCGUGGGGAUCAAACAGGAUUAGAUACCCUGGUAGUCCACGCCGUAAACUAUGAUUACUCGAUGUUGGCGAUAUACAGUCAGCGUCUAAGCUAAAGCGUUAAGUAAUCCACCUGGGGAGUACGGUCGCAAGAUUGAAACUCAAAGGAAUUGACGGGGGCCCGCACAAGCGGAGGAGCAUGUGGUUUAAUUCGAUGAUACGCGAGGAACCUUACCAGGGCUUGAAAGUUAGUGACCGCUGCCGAAAGGUGGCUUUCCUUCGGGACACGAAACUAGGUGCUGCAUGGCUGUCGUCAGCUCGUGCCGUGAGGUGUUGGGUUAAGUCCCGCAACGAGCGCAACCCCUAUUUUUAGUUGCCAGCGAGUAAUGUCGGGGACUCUAAAGAAACUGCCCGCGUAAGCGUGGAGGAAGGUGGGGAUGACGUCAAGUCAGCACGGCCCUUACGUCCUGGGCUACACACGUGCUACAAUGGACGAGACAGUGGGCAGCUACAUAGUAAUAUGAUGCUAAUCUCCAAACUCGUUCUCAGUUCGGAUUGAGGUCUGCAACUCGACCUCA